RNAcentral lists this long non-coding RNA (218 nucleotides) under Salvia miltiorrhiza (redroot sage). RNAcentral's name for it is "long non-coding RNA (SMIL_LNC009034)". The record is from RNAcentral. Lineage: Eukaryota; Viridiplantae; Streptophyta; Magnoliopsida; Lamiales; Lamiaceae.
AUUCUUGGUAAGCCUAUGGUUCGGAUUUACUACUACGUGCGUCUUAGUUUGUUCUCUCUCUGGUGUUGAUGCAUCACGACAACGUUAGAAAAUGACUUGUGUAGAGUUGAGAAAAUGGAUGAUCUUGGGAAGAAGGGUCUCUUCCAACUGUGCUUAUAUAUGCUCUCAUGAUUCAUAAAAUUCUUACAUGGUUUUUGGUUUUAUGGUUGGUUGUUGUU